UACGUAGGGUGCGAGCGUUGUCCGGAAUUAUUGGGCGUAAAGAGCUCGUAGGCGGUUUGUCACGUCUGCUGUGAAAUCCCGAGGCUCAACCUCGGGCCUGCAGUCGAUACGAGCAAACUAGAGUGUUGCAGGGGAGACUGGAAUUCCUGGUGUAGCGGUGAAAUGCGCAGAUAUCAGGAGGAACACCGGUGGCGAAGGCGGGUCUCUGGGCAACAACUGACGCUGAGGAGCGAAAGCGUGGGGAGCGAACAGG
RNAcentral lists this ribosomal RNA (253 nucleotides) under uncultured bacterium. RNAcentral describes it as "partial 16S ribosomal RNA". It matches the Rfam family "Bacterial small subunit ribosomal RNA", at positions 524 to 776 of the family's 1533-position model. The record is from RNAcentral.